RNAcentral lists this transfer RNA (361 nucleotides) under uncultured Microcystis sp. Its description in RNAcentral is "partial 16S-23S ribosomal RNA intergenic spacer". The stretch from base 136 to 209 matches the Rfam family "tRNA". Lineage: Bacteria; Bacillati; Cyanobacteriota; Cyanophyceae; Chroococcales; Microcystaceae. The record is from RNAcentral.
AAAGGGAGACCUAAUUCCAGUAGGAGACGAAAAAAAAGUAGUCCCUACCAAGAAUCAAUCCCCAAAGGUCGGAGCGAGGCAAAAUUGGCUUUCAAACUAGGUUCUGGGUUCACACAAGACCUGAAUCAGGAACAAGGGCUAUUAGCUCAGGUGGUUAGAGCGCACCCCUGAUAAGGGUGAGGUCCCUGGUUCGAGUCCAGGAUGGCCCACCUGCACAGGUGGAAGAAAGAAAAGAAGCUCCGAAUCAGCACCUUAUCUUACUUAUAAAGUAAGAGAGAAUGCUGGCUCUGAGUACAGAGUCCAGAGGAACCUUGAAAACUGCAUAGAGCUAGGUGAAAAAGCCAAAAAAGAAGACCGCAAG